This is a long non-coding RNA of Hydra vulgaris (swiftwater hydra), 496 nucleotides long. RefSeq lists it as uncharacterized. The record is from RefSeq and is a predicted model, not a curated record. NCBI's taxonomy places the organism in Eukaryota, Metazoa, Cnidaria, Hydrozoa, Anthoathecata, Hydridae.
CUGUUACGUUACGUCGUGUAUAUACAACUGUUAAAUAGAACCUGUAAAAUAUGGAAUCUAUUUAAUACGCUUGUAUGUGAAAGGUAAACUUUCCCACAAUCCUAUAUUCUAAGUGUUUAUAAGAAUUUCUUGCUUUGAAUAAUUCUGUAUUUUUUUAUGUAAAACCAUUGAUUAACUUGUUUUCAUCAAAAUGAAGGUUGUUUUGAUGUUUGUGCUAAUUCUUGGGGUUUUAAAUAUAAAUGCUGAAAGAAGUUCAAGCGAAUGCUUCGACGAAGGAAAAGAGUGUCGAAAAAAUGGGGGAACAAACGAAGAAUGUGACAUGGGUGUUCAGAUAUGCUUGAAUGGAUCAGAAAUGGAGACAAUUGGCUUAAAUGAUGAACAGACAAAGCGAUAGAAGCACGAUACUAUAAAAAUAUUUGCAUUUAAAAAAACUUCAACCGUCGAUUUGUAUUUAAUAAAAAUUCACUAUUGUAGAUAAUAAAUUAUAUACUUCUAA